Molecule: transfer RNA, 73 nt
Filed under: Chitinispirillales bacterium
Lineage: Bacteria; Pseudomonadati; Fibrobacterota; Chitinispirillia; Chitinispirillales
Description: tRNA-Phe
Rfam family: tRNA
About the family: Transfer RNA (tRNA) molecules are approximately 80 nucleotides in length. Their secondary structure includes four short double-helical elements and three loops (D, anti-codon, and T loops).
Source: RNAcentral
GCCGCCUUAGCUCAGUAGGUAGAGCAAAGGACUGAAAAUCCUUGUGUCUGCGGUUCGAUUCCGCGAGGCGGCA